RNAcentral lists this ribosomal RNA (440 nucleotides) under uncultured bacterium. Its description in RNAcentral is "partial 16S ribosomal RNA". It matches the Rfam family "Bacterial small subunit ribosomal RNA", at positions 338 to 795 of the family's 1533-position model. The record is from RNAcentral.
CCUACGGGGGGCAGCAGUGGGGAAUAUUGCGCAAUGGGCGAAAGCCUGACGCAGCGACGCCGCGUGAGUGAAGAAGUAUUUCGGUAUGUAAAGCUCUAUCAGCAGGGAAGAAAAUGACGGUACCUGACGAAGAAGCCCCGGCUAACUACGUGCCAGCAGCCGCGGUAAUACGUAGGGGGCAAGGGUUAUCCGGAUUUACUGGGUGUAAAGGGAGCGUAGGCGGUGCAGCAAGUGUGAUGUGAAAGUUCGGGGCCCAACCCCGGGACUGCAGGGGAAACUGUUGAACUGGAGUACAGGAGAGGUAAGCGGAAGUCCUGGUGUAGCGGUGAAAUGCGUAGAUAUUACGAGGAACACCAGUGGCGAAGGCGGCUUACUGGACUGUAACUGACGUUGAGGCUCGAAAGCGUGGGGAGCAAACAGGAUUAGAUACCCCUGUAGUC